Molecule: long non-coding RNA, 266 nt
Organism: Zingiber officinale
Lineage: Eukaryota; Viridiplantae; Streptophyta; Magnoliopsida; Zingiberales; Zingiberaceae
Exons: 3
Source: RefSeq, a predicted model, not a curated record
UGACCCGAGACUUCUUCUUCCUCUCGAGUCACUCCGACCACAGGAGCACGCCGACUUUCCUCCCUUGUGCCUCUGCUGACCUUAGUGAGGAGGUGUAGGGUUCGGUGGAUUAGUGAGCACGAGGGUAGUAUUGUGCUGUGUGUUGUUUUUGGUUACCAGCAGCAAUAAUCCUUAUGUGGAUCAGUGAUCACGACUGUGAUUUUGAGGACCUUGACGCGAGACGAGUAUCUCGGAGUCGGAUUGGACCUUUCUAUUUUCGGAGGCGG